This is a long non-coding RNA of Nicotiana tabacum (common tobacco), 1126 nucleotides long. RefSeq lists it as uncharacterized. NCBI's taxonomy places the organism in Eukaryota, Viridiplantae, Streptophyta, Magnoliopsida, Solanales, Solanaceae. The record is from RefSeq and is a predicted model, not a curated record.
CAGCGGAACAUUGUUCUUCUUCUCCAACAAGCCGAAUCCGUUCCCAAAACUCGCCAAAAUUCAGGCGAGUGAAACCCAAACUCGCACCACGCGUUUUACCUUCUCUCCUCUUGCCAUAGCGUAACCGUUUCUGACAGAUUUCCUCUCCUUCACAUGCUCUAUUUGAUUUAUUUCGGAUUUUUCACCCUUCAGAUGGAAAUGAGGAAAAAUGGGGAGCGUCAGAUCAAAUUCGAGUUGAUCUACUCCCUCCAUUUGUCCCUUUUUCAUCAGAAAAAGGGUGAAAAUCAGUUUGGGGAGAGUAUUUCUUGGCUCGGAAGAUUUCUUGAAAAGGGGAGUAGAAGCUUCGAGAUCUUUGGGAAGUCUAUAUAAGGUGAAGACCUUUUCUUGUGUAGAGGGUUUUUUUUUUCAGAGAUGGAGGGAAUUUUAGAGAGCAGUUUCUGGAGAAAUUGAGAGGGGAAAAACUAGGGUUCUAAAAUAUUCUUCUUCUUCUUUUCUAUUGUGGCUCUCCAUUUUUAGUCUCAGAUCAGAAAAAUACAAAAAUUUACUAAAAUAUGUGUUAUUUUUAGUUUGACAUUCACAUCUCUGUUUUCUGCAUCUUUAAUACGGAGGCUUCACUGUUGCUAUGGAACUGGGUUGAGUUUGGAAGUCGGAGCUGAUUCGAGUACAUCAGACUUGUUGUUAAGGCUCAGAUUUCAUUAGUUGAUUUUCAUUUCAAGCUUGUUGAUUAGCUUGCUACUGUUGUAUCUCAUUCAAACUUCAAGAAACAGUUGAUAAUUUUUUCUCAGAUGGAAAACGAAACAGAGACAGUGAAUGAACCUUUGGUACAACAUCUAUUUCUGACUGUUGCGGCUUCCCAAAACAUGGAACUUGGAACUCUUUUGUUAUGUGUAAUAUUUUAAAGAACUGUUGGGACUUUAGUAGUUUGGUUUGUUUUAUUUUGCUAUGAAAAUUUGGUUUGAAAGACAAUUGAUUGUGUUUUGUUUUGGGGUCUUCAGUUUGGUUUACUGUCCAGUUGUGUAAAUUUCAGAUUGUUGUUUUGUUUUGUUAAGUUCGAACAUUGUUACUAGGACUGUGCAUUUUUGAACUCAGUUGCAUUAUUAAUUUUUAUGAGUACUUAGUUCAGUCA